UCUGCGAUAAGCGUCGGUAAGGUGAUAUGAACCGUUAUAACCGGCGAUUUCCGAAUGGGGAAACCCAGUGUGAUUCGUCACACUAUCAUUAACUGAAUCCAUAGGUUAAUGAGGCGAACCGGGGGAACUGAAACAUCUAAGUACCCCGAGGAAAAGAAAUCAACCGAGAUUCCCCCAGUAGCGGCGAGCGAACGGGGAGCAGCCCAGAGCCUGAAUCAGUGUGUGUGUUAGUGGAAGCGUCUGGAAAGGCGUGCGAUACAGGGUGACAGCCCCGUACACAAAAAUGCACAUGCUGUGAGCUCGAUGAGUAGGGCGGGACACGUGGUAUCCUGUCUGAAUAUGGGGGGACCAUCCUCCAAGGCUAAAUACUCCUGACUGACCGAUAGUGAACCAGUACCGUGAGGGAAAGGCGAAAAGAACCCCGGCGAGGGGAGUGAAAAAGAACCUGAAACCGUGUACGUACAAGCAGUGGGAGCACAGAGCAAUCUGUGUGACUGCGUACCUUUUGUAUAAUGGGUCAGCGACUUAUAUUCUGUAGCAAGGUUAACCGAAUAGGGGAGCCGAAGGGAAACCGAGUCUUAACUGGGCGUUAAGUUGCAGGGUAUAGACCCGAAACCCGGUGAUCUAGCCAUGGGCAGGUUGAAGGUUGGGUAACACUAACUGGAGGACCGAACCGACUAAUGUUGAAAAAUUAGCGGAUGACUUGUGGCUGGGGGUGAAAGGCCAAUCAAACCGGGAGAUAGCUGGUUCUCCCCGAAAGCUAUUUAGGUAGCGCCUCGUGAAUUCAUCUCCGGGGGUAGAGCACUGUUUCGGCAAGGGGGUCAUCCCGACUUACCAACCCGAUGCAAACUGCGAAUACCGGAGAAUGUUAUCACGGGAGACACACGGCGGGUGCUAACGUCCGUCGUGAAGAGGGAAACAACCCAGACCGCCAGCUAAGGUCCCAAAGUCAUGGUUAAGUGGGAAACGAUGUGGGAAG
RNAcentral lists this ribosomal RNA (979 nucleotides) under Escherichia coli. Its description in RNAcentral is "bacterial LSU rRNA". It matches the Rfam family "Bacterial large subunit ribosomal RNA", at positions 65 to 1082 of the family's 2925-position model. The record is from RNAcentral. Lineage: Bacteria; Pseudomonadati; Pseudomonadota; Gammaproteobacteria; Enterobacterales; Enterobacteriaceae.